Molecule: ribosomal RNA, 449 nt
Filed under: uncultured bacterium
Lineage: Bacteria
Description: partial 16S ribosomal RNA
Rfam family: Bacterial small subunit ribosomal RNA
Source: RNAcentral
AGCGAACGCUGGCGGCAGGCCUAACACAUGCAAGUCGAACGAACUCUUCGGAGUUAGUGGCGGACGGGUGAGUAACACGUGGUAACGUGCCUUUAGGUUCGGAAUAACUCAAGGAAACGUGUGCUAAUACCGAAUGUGCCCUUCGGGGGAAAGAUUUAUCGCCUUUAGAUCGGCCCGCGUUGGAUUAGCUAGUUGGUGAGAUAAAGGCUCACCAAGGCGACUAUCAGUAGCUGGUCUGAGAGGAUGAUCAGCCACAUUGGGACUGAGACACGGCCCAAACUCCUACGGGAGGCAGCAGUGGGGAAUCGUGCGAAAUGGGCGAAAGCCUGACGAAGCCAUGCCGCGUGAAUGAUGAGGGUCUUAGGAUUGUAAAAUUCUUUCACCGGGGACGAUAAUGACGGUACCCGGAGAAGAAGCCCCGGCUAACUUCGUGCCAGCCGCCGCAGUAA